This 220-nucleotide unclassified non-coding RNA is filed under the name Hevea brasiliensis (rubber tree). The record is from RNAcentral. Lineage: Eukaryota; Viridiplantae; Streptophyta; Magnoliopsida; Malpighiales; Euphorbiaceae.
UGCUAAACCUGCACCCCCAUCAUCCUUUUGUCUUCCUCUAAUUUUUUAAACUAUGUGUUGGGAUAAAUAUUUUGAAAUGUUUGUUAAAGUUACAAUUGUUAUGUGUUAAUUGAUUUUCAUUGUCGGGUUUUACCUUUGGUUGGUUUGGUAUUGUUGGUAUGGAUCAUUACCUACUCGUUUAUUUUUUCCAAUACUGCAGCUUCUGAAUCACAUGAGAAAG